AGCUCCCUUCAAGACCUUCUUCUUGCUUCCAAAUGUUCUUCAAGGUUGUAUCCUCAGCUACAAGCUCUUCAGGUUCAGGUUCAUGCUUCCAGUCCUUGGUGCUUUCCAUGAUCACAUCAUCCCCUCCCACUUCAAAGAGAUUUGUCCUCAAAUCUGUGUUACCUGCAAUAGAAGGGACCAAGUCAGUAACAUCAUAGUUUAUAAUCAGAUUACACUUACCUUGCAAGCCUCUUUGACAGGCAUUGUCGCUGACUGGUUCUAUUAGGUAGAAGGGACUGAUCCAUUUGGAUUUCUUCACUCCUGAGGCAUUACUUAAACCUGAUACAUUGAAACAAGACAAGUUAACACAAGUAAAAUCAUCAUAGAGUAAGAGUCUUAUCCCAAAAUUGUCUUUUCUCGGUUUUGGCUUGUAUGCUGCAU
RNAcentral lists this long non-coding RNA (420 nucleotides) under Brassica rapa (field mustard). RNAcentral describes it as "long non-coding RNA (BRAP_LNC008479)". The record is from RNAcentral. Lineage: Eukaryota; Viridiplantae; Streptophyta; Magnoliopsida; Brassicales; Brassicaceae.